RNAcentral lists this ribosomal RNA (253 nucleotides) under uncultured bacterium. Its description in RNAcentral is "partial 16S ribosomal RNA". It matches the Rfam family "Bacterial small subunit ribosomal RNA", at positions 524 to 776 of the family's 1533-position model. The record is from RNAcentral.
UACGGAGGAUCCAAGCGUUAUCCGGAUUCAUUGGGUUUAAAGGGUGCGUAGGCGGCAUGCUAAGUCAGUGGUGAAAUCCUUCAGCUUAACUGGAGAAUUGCCAUUGAUACUGUCAAUCUUGAGUACAUUUGAUGUGGGCGGAAUAUGUCAUGUAGCGGUGAAAUGCAUAGAUAUGACAUAGAACACCAAUUGCGAAGGCAGCUCACUAAGCAGACAUUGACGCUGAGGCACGAAAGCGUGGGGAUCAAACAGG